UGGUUAAGCAGAGAGCAAAUGAAGAAGU
RNAcentral lists this non-coding RNA (28 nucleotides) under Rattus norvegicus (Norway rat). The record is from RNAcentral. Lineage: Eukaryota; Metazoa; Chordata; Mammalia; Rodentia; Muridae.